AACAGAUGUGUCCCGAUGAGUAAGAAGCUCCUUAUAGAAAAGUCAAAACAAGAGAAGAUGGCAUGUAGAGACAAGAGCAUGCAGGACCGCUGUCCGGCAUGGAGCCUCCUUUACUGAACAAUGGACAGAUGGUUAUGCUUUCCAAAACCUUAUCAAGCAACAGGAAAGGAUAAAUUCACAGAGAGAAGAGAUAGAAAGACAGCGGAAAAUGUUAGCAAAGCGGAAGCCUCCUGCCAUGGGUCAGGCCCCUCCAGCAACCAAUGAGCAGAAACAGCGGAAAAGCAAGACCAAUGGAGCUGAAAAUGAAACGUAUGUUCUUUAUUGAUGUAAAAUAAAAUACCACCUCCACCCCCAAAUACAAACGUCUUCUGAAUACCCCUGGAAACAACUAUAAAUUACAGGGUCCCUAGAGUUAAAGAUUUCUUUUCAGGUCAUGUCUACAUAUCAGGGAAUUAAAAAGGAUACAUAAUGAAGAUAAUUCACAAUUUAAAGAUCAUCCAACGCUGAAUGACAGAUAUUUGUUGGGUAGAGGUGGUUUCAGUGAAGUUUACAAGGCAUUUGAUUUAACAGAGCAGAGAUAUGGAGCUGUGAAAAUUCACCAGUUAAAUAAAAACUGGAGAGACAAGAAAAAGGAGAAUUACCACAAGCAUGCAUGUAGGGAAUACCGGAUUCACAAAGAACUGGAUCAUCCCAGAAUAGUUAAGCUAUAUGAUUACUUUUCACUGGACACUGACUCGUUUUGUACAGUAUUAGAGUACUGUGAAGGAAAUGAUCUGGACUUCUACCUGAAACAGCACAAAUUAAUGUCGGAGAAAGAGGCCCGAUCCAUUAUUAUGCAGAUUGUAAAUGCUUUAAAGUACUUAAAUGAAAUAAAACCUCCUAUCAUACACUAUGACCUCAAACCAGGUAAUAUCCUUUUAGUAAAUGGUACAGCAUGUGGAGAGAUAAAAAUUACAGAUUUUGGCCUUUCCAAGAUCAUGGAUGAUGAUAGCUACAAUUCAGUGGAUGGCAUGGAGCUAACGUCACAAGGUGCUGGUACUUAUUGGUAUUUACCACCAGAGUGUUUUGUGGUUGGGAAAGAACCGCCAAAGAUCUCAAAUAAGGUUGACGUCUGGUCAGUGGGUGUGAUCUUCUACCAGUGUUUUUAUGGAAGGAAGCCUUUUGGCCAUAACCAGUCCCAGCAAGAUAUUCUCCAAGAGAAUACUAUUCUUAAAGCUACUGAAGUACAGUUCCCGCCAAAGCCAGUAGUAACACCUGAAGCAAAGGCAUUUAUCCGGCGAUGCUUGGCCUAUCGAAAGGAGGACCGCAUCGAUGUUCAGCAGCUGGCCUGUGACCCCUACUUGCUGCCUCAUAUCCGAAAGUCAGUCUCCACGAGUAGCCCUGCCGGAGCUGCUAUUGCAUCAACCUCUGGGGCAUCCAAUAACAGUUCUUCAAAUUGAGACCAACUCCAAGGCCACAAACUGUUCAACACACAAAGUGGACAAAUGGCAUUCAGCAGUGGGUUUGGAACAUAGUGAAUCCAAAUGGAUCUCAUGAAACCUGUACCAGGUGCUUUUAUUUUCUUGCUUUUUUUCCCAUCCAUAGAGCAUGACAGCAUCGAUUCUCAUUGAGAAGAAGCCUUGGGCAGCUCUGGCCAGGCCUCAUAGGAAAAGGCCCCGCCCGAGGUUCCGGCGUCAACGGUCACUGUAUAUGGCUGCUCUGAGUGAGGAAAAAAUUAAAAAGAAAAACUGGUUCCAUGUACUGUGAACUUGAAAACAUGCAGACUCAGGGGGUUCCCUGAUGCAAAGCUUCAGAUGAAGAAUGUGGACUUGAAAAUACAGACUGGGCUAGUCCAGUGUCUAUAUUUAAACUUAUUCUUUUCUUUUAAUAAAGUUUAGGUAACAUCUCCUGAAAAGCUUGUAGCACAAAGGCUCAGCUGGGGAUGGUGUUUGACUUCGGAGGAAAAAAGUUGCUAUUGCCCGUUAAAGGCACUAGAGUUAGUGUUUUAUCCCUAAAUAAUUUCAAUUUUUAAAAAACAUGCAGCUUCCCUCUCCCCCUUUUUAUUUUUGAA
Molecule: RNA transcript, 2050 nt
Organism: Nannospalax galili (Upper Galilee mountains blind mole rat)
Lineage: Eukaryota; Metazoa; Chordata; Mammalia; Rodentia; Spalacidae
Gene name: serine/threonine-protein kinase tousled-like 2
Exons: 2
Source: RefSeq, a predicted model, not a curated record